UUCCACGCUGUGGACUAUUUGUUCUUUUGCUCUUUGCAAUAAAUCUUGCUACUGCUCACUCUUUGGGUCCACACUGCCUUUAUGAGCUGUAACACUCACCCCUAAGGUCUGCAGCUUCACUCCUGAAGCCAGCGAGAGGAACGAGCCCAGCAGGAGGAACGAACAACUCCAGAGGCCCCGCCCUAAGGGCGCCGCCUUAAGAGCUGUAACACUCACCGCGAAGGUCUACAGCUUCACUCCUGAGCCAGCGAGACCACAAACCUACCAGAAGGGGAACACAUCUGAACAUCAGAAGGAGCAAACUCCGGACACGCCACCUUUAAGAACUGUAACACUCACCGCGAGGGCCCGUGGCUUCAUUCUUGAAGUCAGUGAGACCAAGAACCCACCAAUUCCGGACACAAAACUUUCAAGACAGUAGCUUCUAUUGAAACAUCACUUCUCAUUUGCUGUUUGGACAAUGGUGAUGGAACUGCUGCUUUAUUGCCCACGGAGAAGCGAAGUGAAGAGUCUAAAGUGGGUCUUGCAGUUACACUGGACAAAAGAAGUUUGAAACUGAGGCUUGGUCCUGAAGAACACGUAGAGAAGGCUGACAGAUUAUAUAUAUUCACAGCUUUGGCUUAAAGGUUGCUGGUUGACCAAUAAGUAAUACAAGAAGAAAUGGUCUUUUCUGGAAUUGUCCUUUCCAGAACACUGCAAACACUGAGCCUGAGACUUGUGUACUUUCGCUCUGUCUCUUGGACCUUUCACCAUGUG
Molecule: long non-coding RNA, 756 nt
Organism: Gorilla gorilla gorilla (western lowland gorilla)
Lineage: Eukaryota; Metazoa; Chordata; Mammalia; Primates; Hominidae
Exons: 3
Source: RefSeq, a predicted model, not a curated record